AACGAACGCUGGCGGCAGGCCUAACACAUGCAAGUCGAGCGAGGACUUCGGUCCUAGCGGCGGACGGGUGAGUAACGCGUGGGAACGUGCCCUUUGCUUCGGAAUAGCCCUGGGAAACUGGGAGUAAUACCGGAUGAGCCCUUUGGGGGAAAGAUUUAUCGGCGAAGGAUCGGCCCGCGUUGGAUUAGGUAGUUGGUGGGGUAAUGGCCUUCCAAGCCGACGAUCCAUAGCUGGUUUGAGAGGAUGAUCAGCCACACUGGGACUGAGACACGGCCCAGACUCCUACGGGAGGCAGCAGUGGGGAAUCUUAGACAAUGGGGGAAACCCUGAUCGAGCCAUGCCGCGUGAGCGAUGAAGGCCUUAGGGUUGUAAAGCUCUUUCAGCUGGGAAGAUAAUGACGGUACCAGCAGAAGAAGCCCCGGCUAACUCCGUG
Molecule: ribosomal RNA, 433 nt
Filed under: uncultured bacterium
Lineage: Bacteria
Description: partial 16S ribosomal RNA
Rfam family: Bacterial small subunit ribosomal RNA
Source: RNAcentral